GACGAACGCUGGCGGCAUGCCUAAUACAUGCAAGUCGAGCGGAGUGUGUUUGAAAGCUUGCUUUCAAACACACUUAGCGGCGGACGGGUGAGUAACACGUAGGCAACCUGCCUUUCAGUUUGGGAUAACUUCCGGAAACGGAUGCUAAUACCGAAUACAUCAUCUUCUGGCAUCAGAGAAUGAGGAAAGACGGCGCAAGCUGUCACUGAGAGAUGGGCCUGCGGCGCAUUAGCUAGUUGGUGGGGUAACGGCUCACCAAGGCGACGAUGCGUAGCCGACCUGAGAGGGUGAACGGCCACACUGGGACUGAGACACGGCCCAGACUCCUACGGGAGGCAGCAGUAGGGAAUCUUCCACAAUGGGCGAAAGCCUGAUGGAGCAAUGCCGCGUGAGUGAUGAAGGUUUUCGGAUCGUAAAGCUCUGUUGCCAGGGAAGAACGUCCGGGUGAGUAACUGCACCCGGAGUGACGGUACCUGAGAAGAAAGCCCCGGCUAACUACGUGCCAGCCGCCGCAGUAA
Molecule: ribosomal RNA, 518 nt
Filed under: uncultured bacterium
Lineage: Bacteria
Description: partial 16S ribosomal RNA
Rfam family: Bacterial small subunit ribosomal RNA
Source: RNAcentral